This is a long non-coding RNA of Myotis lucifugus (little brown bat), 1767 nucleotides long. RefSeq lists it as uncharacterized. The record is from RefSeq and is a predicted model, not a curated record. Lineage: Eukaryota; Metazoa; Chordata; Mammalia; Chiroptera; Vespertilionidae. The transcript has 3 exons.
CACACGGGCCAGGGCUGAGCUUUUCUUUCGCCUCAUAAGCACAAACAUCUCAGUGCUCAUCUGCGGUUGCUGAGUGCUGCCGGCUGCCGUCGGCUUUCCCGCGCUGAGAGCAGCUUUCCCCCCGCAGGGCUGGAGCAGCGCCUACUCCAUCGAGUCCGUCAUCAUGCAGAUCAACGCCACCCUCGUCAAAGGCAAAGCCAGGGUGCAGUUCGGAGCAAAUAAGAAUCAAUAUAAUCUAGCAAGAGCCCAGCAGUCUUAUAAUUCCAUUGUACAGAUACACGAGAAAAACGGCUGGUACACCCCCCCGAAGGAAGACGGCUAAGUGGACGGACUGCCCCAGGCUCGGACCAACGUUGCUUUAAAGAAACCUUCCCACCGUGCAGACCAGCUUCGAGUGCCCAUAACAGCAGCCCGACGACGUUAGCUGAUAGACACUUUAGUGGAUACUCUGUCACCUGACAUCCUGCAUAAGUUACAGCCUCUCAUUUGCUCAUUGUAGGUAUCUUGGACUCAGCAGUGGGGCCUUUCCUGUAUUUUUCUUGAUAAAUACACACACUGGCCACUCCUUAUCAUCUCUUUUUCUUGAAAAAUGAAAUCUGUUAGCAGGCAGGUCAGCACCAGGUCCUGGAGUUGCAGCCGUAGGUGACGUCUCCCUGUGAGGACUCGCAGUGUGCCGUCCCCUUAGCGCCAAUAAAGGUGAUUGGGUGUUCCUGUCGGUUUAGGAAAUUUAAGGUCUUCUCGAUCACCGUAGCCUUUUCCGGUUGCCAAAAUAACGACAGAAAACCUGCUCCAGGAAUUGUUACACUUUUUAUGGCCUCUCUGGGGCCAUUUCCCACAGACAUGCUCUAAACUGAAUUGCAAGGUGGGGCCACGCAAGCACGUCAGCUGUGGCGGUGAUUCCACGGCAUCGGGCUUGCUGGCUGAAGCUGUUACUGGUUCAAUAUGUCUGAGGAAGAUCUGCAGUCUAGAUCUUGAAGUUAUUUAAAAUACUAAGUCAUUUUACAUUUCCAUUUUAUUAACGGGAUGUUGCAAUCGUUUGUAAACUAAUAAGCUUAUAAAGUGAUUGGCACACAGACAGACUCCUAAGGACAAACAGAUCCCUCACUUGGAGACCUAAAAAUUUUUGCUACAGUCAUAACAAUGGCUUUUACUUAAAGACUAAUAGGAACUCUACACACGUUAGUUCUUUUAUAAAACCUGACUCAGAUCAGUACCCUCUCCAUUCUCUUGCCUUACCUGAAUCAGUCCUGUUUGAUUGGAAGUAGAUUUUUUAUAUUCCCACGUUUGAUUUAAAAGUAAGGUCUAGUUAUUAAGCACUUUUAAAUGAAACCCAGAAGCACAUUUUCUGCACAAAUCACUUACAAAGUUCCAAAGUGUUUCUUAGGCACUUGCUCUGAGAGUCAGUUUUCAACUUUGUAAGCCGCCUGGGAGAGCCCUGCACGGCUGCAGGGCCGCAGCGUGUGGGGCCGCGGGGGAGGCCGUCCUGGGUUUGCGCACGUGGUGACCUCUGUGCUCAGUUCUGAUACAGUGGCUCAGACAACGACAAGGCAGAAUUCUUUAAAGCAUUACAGUUCCUUAAACCUAAGGCUGGAUCUUGAAUACAUUAUUGAAUUCUUUAAUAUCCUGAUGGCUAGCAGGUUGACAGCUGCACAUUUGGCAUGCUUUGUUUUUAUUUGGAGUUUAUUUUUCAUUGCAGAUUUAUUUGGCAAUGUACAGUAAAUUUUGUAAACUUGCAUCAAGUUUAUGAAUAAAGAAUCAUUUAAGAAA